Molecule: long non-coding RNA, 364 nt
Filed under: Callithrix jacchus (white-tufted-ear marmoset)
Lineage: Eukaryota; Metazoa; Chordata; Mammalia; Primates; Cebidae
Description: lncRNA (ENSCJAG00000075734.1)
Source: RNAcentral
UUGUUGUUUUGGUUGUUGUAAAAAAAGAUGACUCUAAGGGUUUCUUCCAACCUUGAGAUUCUAAGAUUUGCUAAUAAGUAGCUGUAAUUUUCCAGCUACUGAAAUAAUUCAUUUCCAAACUACCAGCUCAGGAGAGAGGUGAGAGAGGAAGAGGCAGAUGGUAAGUGUGAAGGAAUAUGUUUAUUUCCAGAAUCAAUAUGCUUUAUCUGUGCAUACCAUUCUGCAAUGGAAAUGGAUAAAGAAGAAGAGAUAAUUUCUGUAGUAAGUUGUACUUCAGAAUGAAAAAUGGAUUGGAUGUGCAUGUUUGGCUAGGGAAGGCCUAUUCCUCACACAGUGGUGCAGGCAAGACAAGUCAGUAAAGUGG